This 425-nucleotide ribosomal RNA is filed under the name uncultured bacterium. RNAcentral describes it as "bacterial SSU rRNA". It matches the Rfam family "Bacterial small subunit ribosomal RNA", at positions 356 to 773 of the family's 1533-position model. The record is from RNAcentral.
GGGGAAUAUUGGACAAUGGGCGAAAGCCUGAUCCAGCCAUGCCGCGUGUGUGAAGAAGGUCUUCGGAUUGUAAAGCACUUUAAGUUGGGAGGAAGGGCAGUAAGUUAAUACCUUGCUGUUUUGACGUUACCGACAGAAUAAGCACCGGCUAACUUCGUGCCAGCAGCCGCGGUAAUACGAAGGGUGCAAGCGUUAAUCGGAAUUACUGGGCGUAAAGCGCGCGUAGGUGGUUUUGUAAGUUGGAGGUGAAAUCCCCGGGCUCAACCUGGGAACUGCCUCCAAAACUGCAUGACUAGAGUACGGUAGAGGGUGGUGGAAUUUCCUGUGUAGCGGUGAAAUGCGUAGAUAUAGGAAGGAACACCAGUGGCGAAGGCGACCACCUGGACUGAUACUGACACUGAGGUGCGAAAGCGUGGGGAGCAAAC